GAGACAGAGAGCUACAGUCGCGCCUGCCACAUCUACCUCCCCAGCCAUCCUACUCUCUAUGCUGCUGCAAACUAGACAUUCCUUCCUGGAGGGACCUCUCGCUUCCCAUCUUCAGAUCAGGACGCACGGUCUCUUCUCCGCAGCUGCUUCCUCUGGUGUUCCUGUGCUCCUGUCGGCCCGCUGCUCCCACACACAUGCCCAUUCUUCUCGGGCUGGCUUGUAUCUCAGGGUUACGCUCCCCAGGUCCCUUGCUCCAGCCUCCUCUUAAACAUGACAAAGAAUCCAAGGACUUGUGCUGGGGCUGUCAGCUGCUAUUCUGGUGCCCUGGGGACGAAGAAGGGAUCUGGAGGGAAGACUGUCACCCUCUUGCGAAUGUUUCCAAGAAGCAGCUCAGCAUGGGAGAGAAAAGGGGAGAUCCCAGUUCCAGGAACACCUGGCCAGUGUUUCACCUGUUUAUCGGAGUUGACAGGACCAGCCAGCCCUUUCCCACCUCUCCCCAUCAUGAUGGAUGGGAGCCUGGCCUUUGAGAACAGAAAGCACAGAACGUGGCACGUUGGAGGAAAUCAAAAGAAAUCUCGCCAUUGCCGGGAAUGGGUAAAUCACUCAGGCCGCGUGGGUCCUUGGCAGAUGGCAGAGGCGGCUUCCCAGUCCCCCACCUGGCACUAGAGGGACGGGGCGCGCACCCAACGGUGGCACGCAUCGCCGAAUUUUCCUGAAUGCCGCUGUGGCACAUUCCUGGCCUUUGCAGUUAUUAGGAAAUGAGAGGAUCUUUUUUCCUUCUACUCUCCCCUCCCCCUGCCUUCGUUUUUCUUCCAGGCAUGGAAUUAUCUACUUUAGCAGUUCAAAAGACAUUCCAUUCCCAUGACAAAGACAGAAAGGGGUGAUGUUGGCAUACUGUAGCCCUCUUUCUCAUAGGGAGACUUGAGCAAUAAAUCAUAAUGAAUGAGAAUUUAAAAUAGCAUUUAUUUAACCUUUAAUAGUACACCUUGCUGAUUUUCAAAGCGUCACCAACAGCUUUGUUUUUCACAUUCCCCAGCAAGGGUCCAACUCAAACUUUGAGCAGACAGUAGCGAAUUUUAUUCCUCUCAUAUAUUCCUAAAAAAAAAUGGGUUGAGGGGAUUCGUGUUCCGCUCCCUCUCAGCUCUUAAAUGUCUUAAGUCUAUCACUGAACAAAGACUGACAGAAGAUUUUAAAAUAGAAUGCAAAACUAUCAUCACAGCAAA
Molecule: long non-coding RNA, 1223 nt
Filed under: Homo sapiens (human)
Lineage: Eukaryota; Metazoa; Chordata; Mammalia; Primates; Hominidae
Description: HSALNT0317301
Source: RNAcentral